CCAAAGGCUCUUUUCAGAGCCACCCACAAUGCUCAUGGAAGAACG
RNAcentral lists this non-coding RNA (45 nucleotides) under Podarcis lilfordi (Lilford's wall lizard). It matches the Rfam family "Histone 3' UTR stem-loop". Rfam says of the family: The mRNAs of metazoan histone genes lack a poly-A tail. The record is from RNAcentral. Lineage: Eukaryota; Metazoa; Chordata; Lepidosauria; Squamata; Lacertidae.